Molecule: ribosomal RNA, 558 nt
Filed under: Scarelus pahangensis
Lineage: Eukaryota; Metazoa; Arthropoda; Insecta; Coleoptera; Lycidae
Description: partial 16S ribosomal RNA
Rfam family: Bacterial large subunit ribosomal RNA (bases 347-495)
Source: RNAcentral
CAUGUCUUUUUGAUAAUAAUUUAAAGUCUAAUCUGCUCAAUGAGUGUUAAAUAGGCCGCAGUAUUUUGACUGUGCAAAGGUAGCAUAAUAAUUAGUUUCUUAAUUGGGAAAUUGUAUCAAUGAUUGGACGAAAAAAUUUCUGUCUCAAUUAAAUUGUUUAUUGAAUUUUAUUAUUAAGUUAAAAAGCUUAAAUUUUUAUAAAAGACGUGAAGACCCUAUAGAGUUUAAUAUUGAAAAUUUAUUUGAUUAUAGAAAUUAUAUUGAGUUUUUAAUAUUUGGUUGGGGUGACUAGAAGAUUAAAUUAAUUGAUGAUAUUCAAAUUUUAAUUGUAAUAUUAUUAAGUUAAGAUAACAGCGUAAUGUUUCUUGAGAGUUCUUAUUUUUGCGACCUCGAUGUUGGAUUAAAAUUAAUUUAUGGUGCGGUGGCUAUAAGAUUAGGUCUGUUCGACCUUUAAAAUUUUACAUGAUUUGAGUUUAGACCGGCGUAAGCCAGGUCGGAUUCUAUCUUUAUCGAAAUAAUUUAUUUUAGUACGAAAAGACCAAAUAAAGUUUACUAUUA